GACGAACGCUGGCGGCGUGCUUAACACAUGCAAGUCGAACGGAAAGGCCCUGCUUUUGUGGGGUGCUCGAGUGGCGAACGGGUGAGUAACACGUGAGUAACCUGCCCUUGACUUUGGGAUAACUUCAGGAAACUGGGGCUAAUACCGGAUAGGAUCUCCUGCUGCAUGGUGGGGGUUGGAAAGUUUCGGCGGUUGGGGAUGGACUCGCGGCUUAUCAGCUUGUUGGUGGGGUAGUGGCUUACCAAGGCUUUGACGGGUAGCCGGCCUGAGAGGGUGACCGGCCACAUUGGGACUGAGAGACGGCCCAGACUCCUACGGGAGGCAGCAGUGGGGAAUAUUGCACAAUGGGCGGAAGCAUGAUGCAGCAACGCCGCGUGCGGGAUGACGGCCUUCGGGUUGUAAAACGCUUUCGCCUGUGACGAAGCGUGAGUGACGGUAAUGGGUAAAGAAGCACCGGCUAACUACGU
RNAcentral lists this ribosomal RNA (467 nucleotides) under uncultured bacterium. Its description in RNAcentral is "partial 16S ribosomal RNA". It matches the Rfam family "Bacterial small subunit ribosomal RNA", at positions 28 to 506 of the family's 1533-position model. The record is from RNAcentral.